This 760-nucleotide unclassified non-coding RNA is filed under the name Hevea brasiliensis (rubber tree). Lineage: Eukaryota; Viridiplantae; Streptophyta; Magnoliopsida; Malpighiales; Euphorbiaceae. The record is from RNAcentral.
GAGCUAUUUGGAAUUCAGGGUUCUUGAAGCAAGAUGGUAGUUACAGGUUGCUCGGCCUCCGCUGUUGUGCCUCUCAUGAGUCUGCCGCUGGCUUAAGAGAUAUAUUUAGACCGGCCGAAGAGGUAUCGAAGGUUUUGAUACCAAGUCUGCCGGAUGAGUCGGGUGGCGGUGGAGGUUCUCCGAUUAGUAGUGGUUUCUGGGAGUGGAAGCCGAAGUUAUCGAUGCAUUAUGAGAAAUCAGGGAUGGAUAAUACUGAAGCUCCGGCGGUGCUGUUUCUUCCGGGAUUUGGUGUGGGGUCUUUCCACUAUGAGAAGCAAUUGAAGGAUCUGGGUCGCGAGUAUAGGGUGUGGGCUUUGGAUUUUCUUGGACAGGGGUUGUCGUUGUCGUCGGAGGAUCCGGCACCGUCUGAGGGUAAGAGUGUGAUGUGGGGCUUUGGGGAGGAAUCAGAGCCUUGGGCGCAGGAGCUGGUUUACUCUGUUGAUCUUUGGAAGGACCAGGUUGAUAAUUUCAUCGAACAGGUUAUCGGUGAGCCAGUUUACAUAGUGGGGAACUCGCUUGGAGGUUUCGUUGCUCUUUACUUUGCAGCAUACAAUCCACAGUUAGUGAGGGGAGUUACAUUGCUUAAUGCAACACCAUUUUGGGGAUUUCUUCCUAACCCUGUUAGAUCACCUCGAUUGUUCAAAAUUUUCCCUUGGGCUGGAACAUUUCCUCUACCGGCAUCUGUGAGAAAGAUCACUGAGAUCAUAUGGGAGAAGAUAAG